RNAcentral lists this ribosomal RNA (253 nucleotides) under uncultured bacterium. RNAcentral describes it as "partial 16S ribosomal RNA". It matches the Rfam family "Bacterial small subunit ribosomal RNA", at positions 524 to 776 of the family's 1533-position model. The record is from RNAcentral.
UACGAAGGGGGCUAGCGUUGCUCGGAAUUACUGGGCGUAAAGCGCACGUAGGCGGUCUUUUAAGUCGGGGGUGAAAUCCUGGAGCUCAACUCCAGAACUGCCUUUGAUACUGGAAGUCUUGAGUUCGAGAGAGGUGAGUGGAACUGCGAGUGUAGAGGUGAAAUUCGUAGAUAUUCGCAAGAACACCAGUGGCGAAGGCGGCUCACUGGCCCGGUACUGACGCUGAGGUGCGAAAGCGUGGGGAGCAAACAGG